UGGGCAGCAAAGCUCAAGAGGUGUCC
RNAcentral lists this non-coding RNA (26 nucleotides) under Homo sapiens (human). Lineage: Eukaryota; Metazoa; Chordata; Mammalia; Primates; Hominidae. The record is from RNAcentral.